AUUGAACGCUGGCGGCAUGCCUUACACAUGCAAGUCGAACGGCAGCACGGGGCAACCUGGUGGCGAGUGGCGAACGGGUGAGUAAUGCAUCGGAACGUGCCAUUGAGUGGGGGAUAACGUAGCGAAAGUUGCGCUAAUACCGCAUAUUCUGUGAGCAGGAAAGCAGGGGACCGCAAGGCCUUGCGCUCUUUGAGCGGCCGAUGUCAGAUUAGCUAGUUGGUGAGGUAACGGCUUACCAAGGCGACGAUCUGUAGCGGGUCUGAGAGGAUGAUCCGCCACACUGGAACUGAGACACGGUCCAGACUCCUACGGGAGGCAGCAGUGGGGAAUUUUGGACAAUGGGCGCAAGCCUGAUCCAGCCAUGCCGCGUGAGUGAAGAAGGCCUCGGUUGGUUAAGGACUCUUUCGGUCCGGGAACGGAAAGUAC
Molecule: ribosomal RNA, 426 nt
Filed under: uncultured bacterium
Lineage: Bacteria
Description: bacterial SSU rRNA
Rfam family: Bacterial small subunit ribosomal RNA
Source: RNAcentral